GGGAAGGAGCAACAGGGAUUGCCCUAGUAACGGCGAGUGAAGCGGCAACAGCUCAAAUUUGAAAUCUGGCCCUAGCGGUCCGAGUUGUAAUUUGUAGAGGAUGCUUUUGGUGAGGUGCCUUCCGAGUUCCCUGGAACGGGACGCCGGAGAGGGUGAGAGCCCCGUACGGUUGGACGCCAAACCUCUGUAUAGCUCCUUCGACGAGUCGAGUAGUUUGGGAAUGCUGCUCUAAAUGGGAGGUAAAUUUCUUCUAAAGCUAAAUACCGGCCAGAGACCGAUAGCGCACAAGUAGAGUGAUCGAAAGAUGAAAAGCACUUUGAAAAGAGGGUUAAAUAGCACGUGAAAUUGUUGAAAGGGAAGCGUUUGCGACCAGACUUUUUCCAGGCGGAUCAUCCGGCGUUCUCGCCGGUGCACUCCGCCUGGUUGAGGCCAGCAUCGGUUUCCUUAGGGGGAUAAAGGCCUGGGGAACGUAGCUCCUUCGGGAGUGUUAUAGCCCCUGGCGUAAUACCCCUCGGGGGACCGAGGAACGCGCUCUGCAAGGAUGCUGGCGUAAUGGUCGUCAACGACCCGUCUUGAAACACGGACCAAGGAGUCGAACAUUUGUGCGAGUGUUUGGGUGUCAAACCCUCACGCGUAAUGAAAGUGAACGGAGGUGAGAGCCCUUACGGGUGCAUCAUCGACCGAUCCUGAUGUCUUCGGAUGGAUUUGAGUAAGAGCAUAACUGUUCGGACCCGAAAGAUGGUGAACUAUGCGUGGAUAGGGUGAAGCCAGAGGAAACUCUGGUGGAGGCUCGCAGCGGUUCUGACGUGCAAAUCGAUCGUCAAAUCUGCGCAUNGGGGGCGAAAGACUUAUCGAACCAUCUAGUAGCUGGUUACCGCCGAAGUUUCCCUCAGGAUAGCAGUGUUGUCUUCAGUUUUAUGAGGUAAAGCGAAUGAUUAGGGACUCGGGGGCGCUAUAUUGCCUUCAUCCAUUCUCAAACUUUAAAUAUGUAAGAAGCCCUUGUUACUUAGUUGAACGUGGGCAUUCGAAUGUACCAACACUAGUGGGCCAUUUUUGGUAAGCAGAACUGGCGAUGCGGGAUGAACCGAACGCGGGGUUAAGGUGCCAGAGUGGACGCUCAUCAGACACCACAAAAGGUGUUAGUACAUCUUGACAGCAGGACGGUGGCCAUGGAAGUCGGAAUCCGCUAAGGACUGUGUAACAACUCACCUGCCGAAUGUACUAGCCCUGAAAAUGGAUGGCGCUCAAGCGUCUCACCCAUACCUCGCCCUUAGGGUAGAAACGAUGCCCUAAGGAGUAGGCGGCCGUGGAGGUUAGUGACGAAGCCUAGGGCGGAGCCCGGGUGUAAC
RNAcentral lists this ribosomal RNA (1349 nucleotides) under Daldinia eschscholtzii. Its description in RNAcentral is "partial large subunit ribosomal RNA". It matches the Rfam family "Eukaryotic large subunit ribosomal RNA", at positions 55 to 1433 of the family's 3401-position model. Lineage: Eukaryota; Fungi; Ascomycota; Sordariomycetes; Xylariales; Hypoxylaceae. The record is from RNAcentral.